GAGAAAGGCUCGUCAGCAACGAUAACUGCUAACUUUCGUCACCUCAGUUAGACCCUGGGGCUCUCUCG
RNAcentral lists this transfer RNA (68 nucleotides) under Epiplatys grahami. RNAcentral's name for it is "tRNA-Ser". Lineage: Eukaryota; Metazoa; Chordata; Actinopteri; Cyprinodontiformes; Nothobranchiidae. The record is from RNAcentral.